GUUCCCCAGUCUCUCUGGAGUUUAACAACAAAUACCAAUUAACAAGAACAUGGCAAAACCUUCUUCUCCCCUUCCUGCUGAAAUUUUUUUCCAAAAGGGAAAAAAAAUUAAAUGGAAGUGCUAGCAUAUUCUAUGAAGGCCACUUCUACAGGGGAAAAUGAAGUUUAUUCACGGAAUUUUAUUGUUGAAAAAUAGCUACUAAGCCUGCUAGCGGAAAUGUGUUUAUGUGGAAAGCUGCACUUUGAAGAAGGCUGCCUUUUGGUAAAAUGCGUUCCUGGUUUACGGUUGUGAUGGAGGCAUACGAAGUGACACCAUCCAUAAAGUCAUCUGGAACCAUCUUCUUGCCAUCAAAGUUACUGGUGUCUUUCUAAUUCAUCUACUCUCCGGCACUCAUGCCUGAACUACCUUUCUUCUAAUCUCAAAGCAUUCAUUUGCUAGGCACCAAAUAAACAUACCACCUUCUGCAGAGACAGUUCACACCCACAUUUCCACACCACUCUUCAAAACUCUCCAUUUAUACACCAAGAUCAAGGCACUGGGCAAAAGAAGGAUGUGGAUGACACUUCUGAUACAGCUCCCUACUCUGGCAUUCAGAAAACUUGUCAGCACUCUGACAAAUGUCAGCAGUAGAGAGUUGCAAGGAACCCCAAACAUCAUCUAGCUCAAUGCCUCACCUAGUGCUGGAGUAAUUCUAAAAAAUUACUAAUUCAGGCCAGCCCAUGGGUAUCACUAAGGGGGUAGGCAAGAGAGUGCCAGGAUGUAUGCAAAAUUACAGGAUAAGCCUGAAGCUUCUUCCUGGACCAAUAAUUUUCUAGAUUGGGAGACAAAGUUAAAUAAUUCACCUACUGAAUAAAUAUCACUUUUAUAUUUAAACCACUUCUGAUAUAGUUUAUCACAUAGAAUACCCAACUCAGACUAAUGUUUAAAGAUAAACAGGAGACUGGGGUACAGGUUACUGCUCAGGGAGUAUUUCCUUGAAGAAGUGAUAUUUGAAUUGUGGCCUGAUGAGUAAGAUUCAGUUAGCAAGGGGAAGAGAAUGGAAUGAAGGGAGGUAUGUGUUGUGUCCUUGGCAGGGAGAAUAACAUGUGUAAGAGUUCUAGGAUGGGGAAAAAUGCAGGAUUUAAAGAGGUGGAGGCCUGAGUGCCCUAGGCCCACACUCCACAGUGAGAAUGUUCUAUUAUCCCAAGAUCUCUUGCAGCCCCUCCUAGGAGUCCUUUUUGCUCACAUCCUGCCAAAACGCUGAAAAUCCUGGGGGAGAAGGUCCAACAGCCUGGAACUGAGAUGUUCACAGCUGCUCCAGCAUCACCCCCAAAUUCCUUAGCUAAGACCAGGAAGCCAGGAACACAUAGUUAUCAUUGCUUAAGGAUUUUUAACACAUUUGCUAAAACCAUCCACUCAUUUAGAUUAGAAACUGCUUGGUAUAAAAGUAAACUAGUCAGGGGGAUCUCUGGGUGGCUCAGCGGUUUGGCGCCUGCCUUUGGCCCAGGGGGCGAUCCUGGAGUCCUGGGAUUGAGUCCUGUGUCGGGCUCCCAGCAUGGAG
This is a long non-coding RNA of Nyctereutes procyonoides (raccoon dog), 1540 nucleotides long. RefSeq lists it as uncharacterized. The transcript is spliced from 3 exons. NCBI's taxonomy places the organism in Eukaryota, Metazoa, Chordata, Mammalia, Carnivora, Canidae. The record is from RefSeq and is a predicted model, not a curated record.